AAAUUGAAGAGUUUGAUCAUGGCUCAGAUUGAACGCUGGCGGCAGGCCUAACACAUGCAAGUCGAACGGUAACAGGAAGCAGCUUGCUGCUUUGCUGACGAGUGGCGGACGGGUGAGUAAUGUCUGGGAAACUGCCUGAUGGAGGGGGAUAACUACUGGAAACGGUGGCUAAUACCGCAUAACGUCGCAAGACCAAAGAGGGGGACCUUCGGGCCUCUUGCCAUCAGAUGUGCCCAGAUGGGAUUAGCUUGUUGGUGAGGUAACGGCUCACCAAGGCGACGAUCCCUAGCUGGUCUGAGAGGAUGACCAGCCACACUGGAACUGAGACACGGUCCAGACUCCUACGGGAGGCAGCAGUGGGGAAUAUUGCACAAUGGGCGCAAGCCUGAUGCAGCCAUGCCGCGUGUAUGAAGAAGGCCUUCGGGUUGUAAAGUA
RNAcentral lists this ribosomal RNA (435 nucleotides) under Salmonella enterica. RNAcentral's name for it is "bacterial SSU rRNA". It matches the Rfam family "Bacterial small subunit ribosomal RNA", at positions 1 to 432 of the family's 1533-position model. The record is from RNAcentral. Lineage: Bacteria; Pseudomonadati; Pseudomonadota; Gammaproteobacteria; Enterobacterales; Enterobacteriaceae. RNAcentral also lists the same sequence under 1 other name.